This is a long non-coding RNA of Polyodon spathula (Mississippi paddlefish), 680 nucleotides long. RefSeq lists it as uncharacterized. The transcript has 3 exons. The record is from RefSeq and is a predicted model, not a curated record. Lineage: Eukaryota; Metazoa; Chordata; Actinopteri; Acipenseriformes; Polyodontidae.
GCUGUAGAAACAAAAGACGCCGAGAAAGCAGUUAAGCCUGACAUUGACCACCUGAAGGAGCAGGCAGGCCUUCCUGAAGCUAUCGACAGCAGAAUGAGGGAACUUCAGAUGAAAAUCACUGCAUGUGAUGGAAUGCUAGAGGAUCUCGCAAGACUUGGUUCCAUUCUCAUGAGAAAUGCUGAACCUGCAAAUGAUACUGCUUGGAUUCCUUCAAAAUAAACAAAGCAGACCCAGAUGAUACCAACCAUCAAGAUGUGAAGAUGUUGACCAGAAAGCAUCACUGGAAGAAAUACAAUAAGUCGCUAAGACUUUUAAAGCUGCUCCAGAUCUUUAAGAGGCCGGCAGUUUUGUCACAGACUAGAAGUUAUUUGCAUUUGUAUGAUUUGUAUUUAUCCAUUUUAAAAUGUUUAUUUAUGCAAGAUGUUAAAUAUCAAUUAAAAUGAAUUUUUCUUGUGUGGAAAGAAAUUCAAAGUUGGGCACACUGCUGAAGGAGUAUUCUGUGUGUUUCCAAAUGGUCUAAAAUGGGUAAUGUACUGUAGAAGUUGGCUGAUGUGUAUAUUCUGUAGAAGCACUCUAACAUGACUACUGUUAAACUGGACUGAAAGGUAAUGGAAAUGAUAUUGUUGAAAUGCUAACCUCUGAAGAUUGCAUAAGCAACAUUCAAGAGGGGGAGGAGGGGU